Molecule: ribosomal RNA, 624 nt
Filed under: Triticum aestivum (bread wheat)
Lineage: Eukaryota; Viridiplantae; Streptophyta; Magnoliopsida; Poales; Poaceae
Description: partial small subunit ribosomal RNA
Source: RNAcentral
AUGGACGUCACCCCCGUCGCCACACGCCUCCGCCGCUCCACCCCCGAGCACGACGCCUACACCGUCCGCGUCGCCGACCGCCGCCUCGUCGCCCUCGCCACCGGCAAUCCGGCCGACGCGCGCCGCUGGAUCUACACCACCCGCUGGCUCCACCAGGCCCUCCUCCGCUCCGACCGCCUCAUCGUCGGCCUCGGCGUCCAGUGGACCCCCGUCCGCGGCCGCGGGGAAGGGCCGCAGGCGCCGCCGCCGGCCACCCUGCAGCUCUGCGCGGGCCACCGCUGCCUUGUCUUCCACCUCGCCCAGGUCGACGCCGAAGCCGUCCCCGCCGUGCUCUACCGCUUCCUCGCCGACCCGCGCGUCGUCUUCGUGGGGUACGGCUCCUCGUACGACCGCCGGAUGCUGUGGGAUCACUACGGCCUGGACGUCGCGUCUUCGUGCGACCUGCGCGCGCUCACCGGCAUGGGGAACGCCUCCGUCGAGCUAAUGGCGCAGCGCUUCCUCGGCUACCGCGGGAUCAGCAAGCCCAGGGACGUGGCCAUGAGCGCGUGGCACGCUCCCAGGCUCUCCGUCGAGCAGGUGGAGUACGCCUGCGUCGAUGCCUACCUCGCCUUCCGCCUCGGCCUC